This 401-nucleotide long non-coding RNA is filed under the name Solanum tuberosum (potato). Its description in RNAcentral is "long non-coding RNA (STUB_LNC007184)". Lineage: Eukaryota; Viridiplantae; Streptophyta; Magnoliopsida; Solanales; Solanaceae. The record is from RNAcentral.
AAAAAUAUCGAAAAAUUUAAUUCGUAAACGUUCGAAAAAUAUAAAAAUAUAAAAAGACAUAAAAAAACCUCAAAAUAUUCCCGAAUUCACCAGUCACCUUAGAAUAUCGAUACGAAUAAAUUAUUAAAAUUUAGCAUUUUUUUGUGAUUGCCCAAAACAUAUCAAAAAAAUCUAAUUCAUAAACGUCUGAAAAAUAUAAAAAUCAGGAAAAAGACAUAAAAAUACCUCAAAAAAAUUCAUGAAUCGCACCAAGUCACCUAAGAUUAUUGAGACGAACAUAAUAUCAAAAUUUCACAUUUUUCCGUGACUGCCCGAGAAAUAUCAAAAAAUUUAAUUCGUAAAUGUUGAUAAAAUAUAAAAAUCAAGAAAAAUACAUAAAAAUAGCUCAAAAAAUUCCCGAA